AUUGCUUCUUGGCCUUUUGGCUAAGAUCAAGUGUAGGACAACCCUAGAUUUCAUGGGAGCUGGGAUCUCAAAUGAAGACCUACAAAAUGCCAGCCCCCAAUUUUUAUUAUAUUCAAAAGACAUCAAAUUACUCAGUCGACUUGUUUUUAAAAGUUUGUACAUGUGUAAUCUCAAUUUCUGCACUUAGUUUGU
Neogale vison (American mink) is the source of this 192-nucleotide small nuclear RNA. RefSeq annotates it as U2 spliceosomal RNA. The record is from RefSeq and is a predicted model, not a curated record. NCBI's taxonomy places the organism in Eukaryota, Metazoa, Chordata, Mammalia, Carnivora, Mustelidae. The transcript has a single exon.